AUGAAACGUAAGAUAGUUGAAGUAGGACCAUCUGACCGCCAGCAGUCCAAUGACAAGGGAAAGAAAGUGGUGUUUGAGAAAUCCGAGUUUCCGCCACUGGUUUACAUGGGAAAAGAGAAAAUGGUGGCGACACCCAACUCCAAGCUACUUGAGAAAAGAGGUGGCGUUGCGGUCAUAUUGCCGUCAAUGUCAUCUUCAACAAGAAGGCCCACCAAUGCUCGGAAUAUACUUCGAGCCGAUGCUCCUAAGUUUGUCCCCUCACUAGCCCAUAAAUCUAGUGGGGAACGCUUGGGCAUAAUGCAAAAAUGUUUCCUAGAAUGAAAGGGAGUGUUCCUUACAUGUGGUGGCCUCAAAACAGGCCACAUAGAUCCAACAUCUGCACCAUCAGUUCCUCUAUUUGAAGAAGUACCCAUCUUACAAGAAUCCUUUGAAGGUUCGUUUGAUCCAGUGCGACAUCAACAGCGACAGAUAAAUGCCCGUCAAUCUUGGAUUGAUCUUCCAACUGCCGUAGAUCAAGAUGCGGCGAGCCGACAUCGUUCUCAUGUGAGGAAGUCUUUCAAGGGAAGAUGGAAAAACACUCGUCCAAAGAUCCAAGUUUAGAAUCCAGAUGACUCAUAUGUUGAACUUCCCGAUGCAUCCACAUCACAAAAUUAUGAGGGUGGUACCAUCAUGCGACUGGUGGAGGCCCUGGCCCAACAACCUGAGUACCAAGAAUUCAUUCAUCAACAUCCUGAACAUCAAGAGUAUGUGAACUAAGCUGCUCGUGUCCGUUCAAGAAGGGCGGCAUACAAACAAAGAGAAAGGGCAGUACGAGCAAGGUCUGGGUCAAGCAGAGUACAAGGGGCAGAAUAAGCUCCAUUAGAUCAGGACAGUCGGGCUAAAACCAAGAAUAAUUCAUUCAAGGUGUUCCAAGCAAUGCCAGUUGGUGUCAUGGCGGCAUCAGACAAAACCAUCGAAACAUCCUCCACAUCAAUACAUUUCAAGAAGAAGGCAUGCAAAACUGCCGUAGAAGGUCCUCGUCGUAAGACACGAAGCCAAAAAGGUUCAGAUUAUGAAGAACUUGGGUCCAGCUGUGGUGGGUCUUAUAAUCCCCUAUCGGACAAUACCCACUAG
RNAcentral lists this ribosomal RNA (1113 nucleotides) under Triticum aestivum (bread wheat). RNAcentral describes it as "partial small subunit ribosomal RNA". Lineage: Eukaryota; Viridiplantae; Streptophyta; Magnoliopsida; Poales; Poaceae. The record is from RNAcentral.